This 59-nucleotide transfer RNA is filed under the name Felis catus (domestic cat). The record is from Rfam by way of RNAcentral. Lineage: Eukaryota; Metazoa; Chordata; Mammalia; Carnivora; Felidae. RNAcentral also lists the same sequence under 4 other names.
ACCUUGGUGGCUCAGUUGGUUGAGCGUCUGACUUCAGCUCAGGUCAUGAUCUCGAGGUU